UUAGUAUUUAUUUAUUUACAGUUAAUGUUUGUGUUUUUGAUUUUUUUUUAUACUGUAUAUUUAAAAAAAAAAUCAUAAACAUGGAAAGUCUUAAACUGGAAACUUCUUAUGUUUGUUUUAAUAUUUCAUUUGUUUAUGGCAAUUUAGGCAUAGAUAUAAAAUUUGUGAUAGUAAUACCAUACAAUGGCAUCAGGUACUUAUGGAAGUUCAAUUGUAAUAUGUUAUUGUUUAAAUCAGGCCAGGGCAAUAUGCGGCCCACCACAUUAAAUUGUGCGGCAUGCCGGCAGAUUUUAUACUUCUAUUCAAAACGUUUGUAUCUCGUUGUAUGUAUACAAAAAAUAUUAAACAAAUAUUUGCAUGUAUCAUUGUUAUAAUGCACAAGUGCAACUAUGAACUCCAGUUCUAUAUUUAUUUUCAGAUUAUAUAAAAAAUGCAAAUUAUUUUGCACGAGUUUUAAGUGCUUUUGGCUCU
Molecule: long non-coding RNA, 471 nt
Filed under: Androctonus crassicauda
Lineage: Eukaryota; Metazoa; Arthropoda; Arachnida; Scorpiones; Buthidae
Source: RNAcentral